GGCGGCAUGCCUUACACAUGCAAGUCGAACGGCAGCACGGGGGCAACCCUGGUGGCGAGUGGCGAACGGGUGAGUAAUACAUCGGAACGUGUCCUGUAGUGGGGGAUAGCCCGGCGAAAGCCGGAUUAAUACCGCAUACGCUCUACGGAGGAAAGGGGGGGAUCUCAGGACCUCCCGCUACAGGGGCGGCCGAUGGCAGAUUAGCUAGUUGGUGGGGUAAAGGCCUACCAAGGCGACGAUCUGUAGCUGGUCUGAGAGGACGACCAGCCACACUGGGACUGAGACACGGCCCAGACUCCUACGGGAGGCAGCAGUGGGGAAUUUUGGACAAUGGGCGAAAGCCUGAUCCAGCAAUGCCGCGUGUGUGAANAAAGCCUUCGGGUUGUAAAGCACUUUUGUCCGGAAAGAAAACCUCCGCCCUAAUAUGGUGGGGGGAUGACGGUACCGGAAGAAUAANCACCGGCUAACUACGUGCCAGCAGCCGCGGUAAUACGUANGGUGCAAGCGUUAAUCGGAAUUACUGGGCGUAAA
This 531-nucleotide ribosomal RNA is filed under the name uncultured beta proteobacterium. RNAcentral's name for it is "bacterial SSU rRNA". It matches the Rfam family "Bacterial small subunit ribosomal RNA", at positions 38 to 564 of the family's 1533-position model. The record is from RNAcentral. Lineage: Bacteria; Pseudomonadati; Pseudomonadota; Betaproteobacteria.